Columba livia (rock pigeon) is the source of this 1925-nucleotide long non-coding RNA. RefSeq lists it as uncharacterized. NCBI's taxonomy places the organism in Eukaryota, Metazoa, Chordata, Aves, Columbiformes, Columbidae. The transcript has 2 exons. The record is from RefSeq and is a predicted model, not a curated record.
UAUGAACUUGACUCUGUUUCACACUGAGAAGUGCUGAGCUCCUCCCUUACUACUGACUUACUUAUGCCCUAAAAAUGUAAUUAAAACGUUCAGGUUGCCCUAAAUGAGGGGUUGAACAGGAAUACCGAGUAUGGGAGCACCGGGAGGAACAAAAGGCAGGAGAAGGGGACAAGAAUGACAUCUGAUGAUGGCAUCUGGACCAGCAGGUCACCAGGGUUGCAUGAGCUGUCCACCCGUGUGGAACGUGGAAGAAAUGAGACGUGAGGAUGAACACCCCUUGUCCUCCAGCUCAUCCUGAGAUGGGACAAAGCAAUGGACGCAAGCACUUUGGCAUUUGAAGCCACCUGCGUGGUCCACGCGAACGCCUCGGCCUGGCUGCGGACGCGGGGACUCAGAGCAGAAUGAAAUCCUUGCCCAGGAUGGUUGUUGGAGGCAGCGCCGGCUCCCAGCGCCGCUCGGGGAAGACUUAAUGAAAAGCAGCUCAUCAAGCAGUUACGUAACCUAAUGAUAAUCCGGCUCAGGCCAGGCAAUACUUAAAGCCACAGAGUCUCUCUACCGUGACCUAUUUUACGCUGGAUGCGAGGGCAAAAGUGUGCGGUUUGUAACUUCGCGGCGUCUGUUACCGCCGAGUUAUUCGCCGUGGGUAGAAAAGCCCCCGGCGCGUGUUUCUUCUGCUUUCCUGGCUGCAAAGUGACCGCGUCGCAUCUGCCGGUGGCUUUUUACGGUGUCGGCGCCAAGCGCGGGCACGGCGGAGAGCACGUUGUAAACAGUUCAAAGGAAAACACUUCAUGUCCCGCAGGAAACUCCGCGGACUUUAAUUUGAGCUUCAGAAGCUGCGGAGAGUGCGGGGGUAGGUUGCAAAGCGCUUCUGAUGCUGCGUUGAAGCGGAGAGAAAGCUUUUGUGUUGUUAUUAGACCUCAGAGAGCAAAACCGUGUGCUUCCACAAUUCCAGGGUCAUAUUUACAUUUGACUGAAGGAAUUCCUUAGGUUGGCCCUGCUGUAACUCAUACUUGUACGACUGUGAUCAUGUACUUUUUUACCUCUCAAUCUGCGCAAGUAUCAAGAAGAGAUUAAAUGCAGAGAUGUUGAUUCAGAUCUCAGCAUUUAAUCUGCCCACAGAUGGUGUCAAAAGAGGGACAGCCAUGCGAAAUUGCAACAGAUUUAUUAUAUUUUUCCCUAAACAAUCGCUUUUUUUGGGUGAAUAAAGCUAGAGAACAAGUGGCCCCAUUUAAAAUACAGAGGAAACCUCCGUUUCCUACAGUGCCUCUGCUUUGAAGCAAUAUUAAUGGGCUGAUUUCUGUUAAUGAUUAAUAAUGCGUUUAUGUACUUAACCGAAGUUAUUGUGACUAUUAUUAACUCCUGUCUUUCAUAGGAUAAUUAUUUCAUUUCUUAUAACACCGGACGACUUAAUGACAGCGCUGGUUGCAAAAAGGAGGUUGUAGUGUAGAUAUACUCAUUUUUGGUGAUACUUAUGCUUAUACAGAAUCCUGUUGUUCCCAAAUCAGUGCUAAAAAGCUUUGUAUUUCCUACCACAAGGAAUACCAGGUUUCCUGCCAGGCUCAACACUUAGUGCCACUGGAUUCUCAGAGCAGAUUGUGUGGAUCUGCUGAUCUCUUAUGGGUUGAAAAGUUCCUCAAGCUAACGCGUAGUUUUUGUAUUUUAAUUCCCUACAUUAGCCAGUUGAAGGUGGGAAAUCACUUGGAAAAAGAUGUACAAAAUUUCCUGUCGGUGGAAAUAUUUCCUGACAUUUAAAAGGAAAAAUAAUAAUGGAAAGAAAACUGUGGUGAUGGUGUUUGUUGGGUUUUGAAACGUCUUCCUGUGGAGCCUGCGACCCAAACGCUGCUGCAUUGUCCUGGCCUUUGAGAAACAGAAAGUGGAACUAAAUGGAGAUUAUUAAAAUAGUCUGGCUGAUUAUAAACUCUAAA